GAAAUGCGAUAAUUAAUGUGAAUUGCAGAAUUCAGUGAAUCAUCGAGUCUUUGAACGCACAUUGCGCCCCUGGUAUUCCGGGGGGGCAUGCCUGUCCGAGCGUCAUUGCUGCCCUCAAGCACGGCUUGUGUGUUGGGCUUCCGUCCCUGGCAACGGGGACGGGCCCAAAAGGCAGUGGCGGCACCAUGUCUGGUCCUCGAGCGUAUGGGGCUUUGUCACCCGCUCCCGUAGGUCCAGCUGGCAGCUAGCCUCGCAACCAAUCUUUUUAACCAGGUUGACCUCGGAUCAGGUAGGGAUACCCGCUGAACUUAAGC
RNAcentral lists this unclassified non-coding RNA (314 nucleotides) under plant metagenome. RNAcentral describes it as "partial contains 5.8S ribosomal RNA, internal transcribed spacer 2, and large subunit ribosomal RNA". The stretch from base 1 to 105 matches the Rfam family "5.8S ribosomal RNA", at positions 50 to 154 of the family's 154-position model. The record is from RNAcentral.